AGUGAUUCUCCUGCCUCAGCCUCCGGAGUAGCUGGGAUUACAGCAAAGAUAUCCAGACGCUGUAUGCAGGAAGAACUGAAUUUCAGAGGACACCGUUUGAUCUUCAACACCUGGCAGUUUACAAAACAGCCUGAAGAGGAGAGGGGGAAUCCUGGUGAGAAGCAUUUGGAAUUCAAGCUCAGAGAAGAAGACACGGAGUCCCAGCUGAGAACUCAAACUGGUAGAAGGAAGAUUAUUUUUCCUUCUCUAUAGGUGCUUGGAGGUAACGAGGGGAAAGGAGUUGAAAGGAAGGUGACAUUUCAGCUAAUCUGCUUCGCGCUACUUUUUUGAGGUGGGCACCUGGGAUGGAGGCAAGGAAUCACGAAGUGGCGUCUCCUCGGAAGGGGCAGCCUGAUGUCUUUAACCACUGAACUGUGGUUUCCAACUGGAUGCGCUUUGGGUUCAGGGCUAAGACACGCGUAGGCGGUGCAGACAGUUCAAUUCGUGGGCGGCUUUUUCUCUCCCCUGCGCGGUUUUGCAGAACUGAGGAUUCACGUUUGCCACGCAGUCUCUAAAUGUAAGGAGAACUUGCUUUAUUUAACGAAUGUGUAUUCAGCUGCCAAAGAACAAGCUAAUCACCCUUCCUCCCCACGCCCGACUUAGCCUCCUCCCAGCCCUCGCCGGAUUUCUGCAUCGGAAUUGGAUUGGAUCACACACAAAAGAAGAGCCCAGGAACUCGUUCACCACCUUGCACCUUGCCUGUUAGUUCACGGCAUAAUGGUAACAGAGUCUUCAUUAAUGGAAGCAACGUUACUACCGUGAGCCCGGAUAGCUCAGUCGGUAGAGCAUCAGACUUUUAAUCUGAGGGUCCAGGGUUCAAGUCCCUGUUCGGGCGGUAUCUUUUUUUUCCUCAUUAAAAGAGUAAGAACCAAUUUUAGGAUCUUUUGUUUGUUAACACACUGCAAAAGAAGGGAAUAAAGUCCUGGAUUGUGUAAACUGCGACCCCAAACACUUCUCGGAGGGUAAGCCCUCUAUGGGGAUAGGCCUUUGUGCAGAGGUAUACGGGAAACUUCUAAUCCAUCACUUUGGGGGCUGUAAUAGGCAGAUUAUUCUGUAGCCACCAGCCGGGCUGCUGUAUCCCAACAGCGGAUAUAUCAAAGGA
Molecule: transfer RNA, 1141 nt
Filed under: Homo sapiens (human)
Lineage: Eukaryota; Metazoa; Chordata; Mammalia; Primates; Hominidae
Description: HSALNT0362871
Rfam family: tRNA (bases 802-874)
Source: RNAcentral